RNAcentral lists this ribosomal RNA (419 nucleotides) under bacterium. RNAcentral's name for it is "partial 16S ribosomal RNA". It matches the Rfam family "Bacterial small subunit ribosomal RNA", at positions 355 to 776 of the family's 1533-position model. The record is from RNAcentral.
UGGGGGAUAUUGCACAAUGGGCGAAAGCCUGAUGCAGCGACGCCGCGUGGGGGAUGAAGGCCUUCGGGUUGUAAACUUCUUUUGCUCUGAACAAGGCAUGCUAAUGGGUGUGUUGAGUGUAGGGGUUGAUUAGCGCCGGCUACCUACGUGCCAGCAGCCGUGGUAAUACUUAGGGCGCGAGCGUUGUCCGGAAUUAUUGGGCGUAAAGGGCUUGUAGGUGGCUGGUUGCGUCGGUCGUGAAAGCUCAUGGCUUAAAUGUGGGUUUGCGGUGGGUACGGGCUGGCUUGAGUGCAGUAGGGGAGGCUGGAAUUCCUGGUGUAGCGGUGGAAUGCGCAGAUAUCAGGAGGAAUACCGGUGGCGAAGGCGGGUCUCUGGGCGGUUACUGACACUGAGGAGCGAAAGCAGGGGGAGCGAACAGG